GUGAAUCAUCGAAUCUUUGAACGCAAAUUGCACUCUCUGGGAUUCCGGAGGGGAUGCCUGUUUUAUGGUCAGUUUAAAUAAAAGUCGGUGUGGUUGCUGCCUUUCGUUGUGACUCACCGGAUUUGGAUCUGCUUGCCUUCGGUUAAGUGACUUAAAAUUUGGCAUUAUUUUUUUCUAACGUAUUUAAAUUAUUUUACGUACGUUUGCGAUAUCGAAUACUAUUUAUGGUCAUCCUCUUGAUUCGCGCCUAUAGUUUUUCAUCAAAAUG
This 268-nucleotide unclassified non-coding RNA is filed under the name Glomus sp. RNAcentral describes it as "partial internal transcribed spacer 2". The stretch from base 1 to 71 matches the Rfam family "5.8S ribosomal RNA", at positions 84 to 154 of the family's 154-position model. Lineage: Eukaryota; Fungi; Glomeromycota; Glomeromycetes; Glomerales; Glomeraceae. The record is from RNAcentral.